CAACACGAAACAUGCUCCGAAGGCGCCUUCUGUUCGUUCUCUUUCGCACCCGUCCCGUUUCGCUAUUGCUUUCGCUCGCACGUACGCGUUUCGCUCUGCUGCUGGAAUUUCUCAUCUCAAUGUCCAUUCCAGCAGCGGCAUGCACGGACGUGUUAUCGCGCGUUGCUAAUUUUACGUAUUUUACGUACGCGUAUUUCGCACGACCAGCAACACCGUGUAUCAUUUGUGAAAGCUUACCUGGUGUAGAAGAAAUAAAAGAAAGAAGAAAGCAACGUUCCUGUAGCUUCGCUAUUUUGGCAAGUAAAGUGCAUUGUUCGAGUGGAAUAAAAGUAAAAAAACAACAACUACUCAUUACAUCAAUGGAAUUAGUGAACCGAUCUCAGUUGAGUGUUGAAAAAUAAAAAAAUUAAUAAAGCGAAAACAAAAUGAUUUAACGAAAUAAACACGAAUCCGAAGUGUCCGAUCAAGUAUAUGUGCAACGAUUGAAUAAAUGAAACAAAAGAAAAAAAACCAAAACAUACAACUGUACAAAAACCCACUUUGAGGAGUUAAAGCCGGCCGUUUUGUUAGCACCGAUUGGCCGCGACAGCGAAUGAAUUAAACGACCGCCAUAGCAAGGUGAGUAAGUCAAGUGGCCGUCGAAUGGAAAGGGUUAAUUAAUGAACAAUUUUUAAAGGAGGGAAAAAUACAUCGUUCGCCUGUGUGUGUGUGUGUGUGUGUACUGGUGCUGUUAGCAAACGGAUUGGGGUUAAGGUAAGGGGUCUUUUGGAUCAAGUUCCCCUCGGGCACGCGUUAGUACACCUCAUUGAUCGCAUCUUUGCGCUUGUGUAUGUGUGCAAACCGGUACCAGAUCAUUCCAGCAUCCAGCACUCUUUCUUCGCCUAAAACAAUUACAGGGAAGAUAAGAAAAAUAAUCAAAAACAAACAAUAUGAAACCAUUUCGUCUGUGUGAGCGGAAUGAUCGCCAGUGAGCGUUACUUUAUUCACGCAUGAUCGCAUACUGUCUCACGCUCACCCCGUUACGAUCGCUGCUCAUUCUCACUGCCUCACCUUUUGCCGUGGCGGUUUCGCUGAGUCAGCGAACCUCAAUUCCAUGCCAUUUUCGUACGUUUCGUCUUGACCGAGGGCAAAACAGCAACUUCAGGUUUUUUUUUGUUUUUUUUUUUUUGGUGGCAACGAUCCGUUGCAACCACUACACACGUACAAUAAGGGAACGCAUAGCGAAACAUACAUCGUUUUGCACAACAGGUUCCCCGAAAAGGGGGUUUAUGCUUCACACCAUGCCGCACUGUGCGAUGCAUGUAUGGCGAACAAGCGCGAUCACUGCUGUAUUAUGCUGGAGGAGUGUGUUUGUACGAGUGGGCUAAAGCAUAACUCGCCCACAGUUGAACUCGCGAAUGUUAGACAUGAAGUGUGGAGUUUUGUUGUUUGUAAUCUUUUCCAACAAUGUUUCCUUUUCCCUGGCUGUGUUUGUGUGGGAUGCUGAUGAACGUUCGAUGAUGCUACCUGGUACCGGUUGCAUUUGCUGCAUUAAUGCAUUCCCCCGCUUGGAUGUUAAAAAGGGGUUCUAGAUUCUGACCGCUCCAGGCAAUGGAUGAUGUUUGUAAACAGACGCUGUUGCGGGUGGAGUAUACACUUUGGCCAUAAAACGCAGCACUGAAAUCUCUACAGAUGCAUCGAUGCAUCCGUAUGUAUGUGUGUGUGUGGAUCAUGUUGAUUUUCAAAAGUCGUACGUAAAGACGCCGUACAAUGCGGCAAAACCGGUGCAACGCGAUGCGUUCCAUAAAAGGAAGUAAAGUAAAACCCAGGCCUCCACAUCAUUGUCGUUCGAGGGGUGUUUGAUUUCUUGUGCGCUGUGCACGGUUGGAAGUGCGCUUCGAUGUUGUUUCGCUGUGUAGCGUUAGCUAUUUUUAUCUUCGUUCUACGCCGGCUAAGCGACCCUUACAGCGGUCUGAACUGAAGUUUGCAUUGCGUCUGUGUGUUACUGUGUUUGUCCCGUACCAAGUUUCCGAUCCGGUACUUUCAGUGCUGCCACUUGAUAAGGAGGUUUGAAAAGAAUGCAAACGGCGCUGUAAGAGCAACCAUUCGGUGCUUUAUCGAAAGCUUCGAUGCCACCGCUAGGAGGGGGAAAACCAUUCUGGAGCAAUGGAUGCAAAUGUUGCACAUCUUUUGCCUGGCCGGAAAUAUCUUGCAAAACAAGCGCGAAUGCACAACCAGUGUUUGUGCAUGUCAGGGGGUUGAUUCCACCCCGGGGGGAUGAGGUGUGGAAGUAGCUGAGCGAAUGAACCUUCGGAGACAGUAAGAACAGUCAUUGUUACGCGCAUAAGAAUAGGACGUGUUGAAAUUGCAUUAAAUAUUGAUUUUGUGCUGCAUUUCUUCCGCAUUCUGCAUGUUUCACUAAUUGCAUUUUCUAGUGACUUUUUUCCGCGUAACGCGCGCUACUUGAGUUGGGCUUAUCGGUUGAGUUGAGCAAAUAAUUCGUUUGCUUAAAUUAGAAAAGAUAACAGCGAUGGGUUGUUGCAAAAGAUAGCUUUGAAAAUCGCAUUUGCAGCAAACAGCUGUUUGCGUCUUUGUUGGUUGUUGAGUCACAAAUAAAAGAAUCUUAAAAUUAAGCAAACAACAAACACGAUAUGAAUGUUGUUGUCGUGAAUGUGUAAUUGAGUAUGUUCUCCAAGUUGAAAAUAAUACACUUGAAUCAUCAGAAUUGAUUGAACGAACGCAAACAUUAGUCGGUCGGUUUCCGUGUUUAUGUUGGUUUUUUCUUCUUCGAAAGAAACUAAUGAUAAACGCUCAUAGAACUAUAUCAGCCUUUUGGUUAAAUGUAAUGUGCAAUAAAAAAACUACCGUAGAAAAGGAAGCGUCAUAGACAAAGGAAGCAAUAACAAAAAACAUACAAAAAAUCCCCAACAUAAACAAAACUUACGCGACUAUAUACGGCUAAAGAUAGCAGAAAGCCUAGCCAAACGCGUGUGUGAUUGACGCAUUUUUCCUAGAAAAUAAUGAAACCCGAUUGAUCGUACCGAUGUGGAAGCUCGCGUUUUCGUGAUUCAUAAAAAUGGGGCACAAUUUUUCUUCCCGUGGCCACCACCGUUUUAGCGUGUACGUGCGUGUAAGCGAACGGAAAAAAUAGAGUAUCGUAAAAUGUUUUACCACACAGACACACACACUUCCAAGCAAGCUGGCUCAUUCUGUCCUUUUUGGGGCUAGUUCGUGUCUGGGGGUGGUAGUAGUAGCUCACGAAACAACAACCCCUCCAACCCGAUUAUUUCCACAACACAGUAAAUGGGCUCCUUUAAGAAAAAGUGGUUUUCGUUUGCGAGUGACGACAUAUUCGUUUAAGUGCCUACCAACGGCAAUAUGGAAGAGUUCUGACACGUGAAAAUGGUUGGUUCUUGGUGGAGAAAAAAAAAUCCCCCAGUUAGCUCUGUGGGUGGGCGCUGAUUCACCAUUAACUUGCUAUAUGAUCCAUUUUUAUCCAUUUGAGCGUGUAUUUUUUUUUCCUCUUCUUUUAAGGUUUCGUGAUAGAGGCAUUCCGAGUAACGUUUAUCCACCCACCUUCCUAUAGUGGAAAGGAAAUCCUUCCCUAAAUUCUACUUCCCCGGGAUAUCGAGGCACUUGAAUUUGUAACGCUUUUUCUUCCCCCCCAAAACGUGCACCAAAGCUAAGAAUGGUGUGGUUUUAGUUGUCGGAAUGGGGGAAGGAAGACGAAAAUGACGAGUGGAUGUGGCUCAUAAAGCAGCAUGACUUUUUAUGGACCCUGUCAAAAGUGGUCUUAUUUUUUUGUCUUUCCCGGCACGCGAAUAGCAACAGGAUGAAUGGUGGAGCACAAGCAAGAUAGAAAAAAAUAUCAUGCAUUUUGGAGAAAGAAAAACUAUAACAGUCAAUUGCACCGAUGCUUCAUUGGGUUUCGUCUCCAAAAAAAGAAGAAAAAAAAAACAGAAAACAAAUCGUUCGAAUUGUUGCACACGGUUUGGGUGAAAGGACGACAUCCGCGCAUGGACACUAUUCGCCAAUGUCCGCUUGUUCCAAUGUUUCUCCUGUCGAGCGGAAAUUGCUUUCCAAACUGCACGACGUCUUCACUUGUGGGAGCUUUUGUAGUUAAAGUGCAAAUGAUAGGCUCGCUUGCCUGUGCCAUCAUCCCUCAGUGGAUGCCUUUAUUUGUGGGUGUCUUUUUUGGGGAAGAGAUCGAUUUUUUGUUGUUGUUGGUUUUCUGGUUCUGCAAAAACUAACCUCACUUCAUGCAUGAAUGCCAUUAGUCACUGGCCUCGUGUCCGGCAAACCGGCAUAUUUGCUCGAGAACUUACCAUCGAGAACGGGCGGAAGGAACGAACGCUUUUCCGCUACGGCCCAGACUCGUCUAAUGGGGCCUUAUAUGUGCGGUACGUGCUCCUCGGGGGGUUUCCUAGUGGUCCGUGAUCUAUGGCAAAAUCACGAACCUUUUCAGGGUAAUAAAUUAAGUUCGAGAUUCGAACCCAAGACCUGCUUUCUUUUGGGGGUGGGGUGGUCCUUAUUUUCUCCGUACCAGACGCAAGUCUUCACAUCCGGCUUCGGGAUGGCUGCUCUCAACAAAAUCCGAGACCAUUGAAAUGCUGAUUCGAUCGAAUGUUACCUAAAUGGGGGAGGAAUCUUUCGAUCACACAUAUUGGUGACUGUGAAAGUGAAACCUGUACGUCCACACCGUCUCUGAAUUCUGGUGUUGCGUCCUUUUUUUGGGGAGGAGAGAAAAAUAGUUCGAUGUCCUUGCGGUUUUUUGCCAAUGAAUGGAUAGACGUACCGACAGAGCAUCUUUCGUGUCUUUCAACGUGUUGUCCCCUUACUCUCCUACAUGAAGCAGGAUUUAUGUAUGUAUGAAAACGUGACUUCUAAGUGAAAGUGUGGUAUAUGAGAGUCCCUUUCGCAUUGGAAAACACGGUAUACCAUUUUGGUUGUUGUUCUUGUUGCUCAAUAUCCGUUAGUGCCUUUCGUUGCUGUCCCAACACAAAACGAAUGAUUGGUGGGACGAUCUUCUUCAAUGGUCGAUUUAGUCUAUCGAGCUUCCUGCUUUAACUCGUACAGAAUAAGCAAUUCGUUGUUGUCAUAAAUAUAUUUUAUUUAUGCUUCGAUUUGUAGAUUCAUUUGCGGUUCGGUAACCCCAACCAUGGGAAAAAAGCACAAAUUCCUCCGAUUCUUCAUUUGCCUUUUGGUUCAGGAGUACGCCUCGUAAAACUAAAAAUGGUAAAAGAUUUUUUUUUGAGGAUUUUGAGGAUUGUUGAUUCCAUUUUUUCGGCAUGAGAGUUUGUGUCACACGGCAUGGGAGUUUGGGUUCCGCUAGAUUACCACCCUCCUCCUACCGUGUGACCUCUUUUAUUUUAGUGUUUCGAUUUCGAGUUUCGAAAGCGAUUCACCUUUUUGGCGGGCUGUUUUUUUUUUGCGUGCGCCCUCUUACGAGUGGUGCCCAGAAGUAAAGGUUUAUUGGCGGUAGUUAAUCAUUUUUAUUCUCGAAAGCAAUCCAUUAACGUGAUUCUUAAUCGAGCGAAACCAUUUUAUGGCACCAGACUACGACGCCGACGACGACGAUAGCUCCGGAGAAUGAAUUCGUAAACGGAUCCGGGUUCUUCUGCCACGGUGUAGACAUUGCCUGGUGUCUCAGACAAGCAUACUUUUCGCAUUUUUAUGUUCCCGCAUGUUGUUCAAACGGUUCGGUCGGUCGCAUAAGCUUAAGCAAUAAUACUUUAUUUUAAUGUAAAAUCACUAGCAGCGGCGUUAAAAAAAAACAAUGCCAACCGUGUACUUAAAAGUCCGACAACAAUCUCUCCUAUAAGAGUUGAUAUUAACCGGCGUGAUACUGUGUCCCGUGUGCUGCUCUCGUUGUGUGUGUGUUGACCACUCAACGAUCCGUAGAAAAGGGAUACUCAUUAAUGCAGUGUGUACGAGACUCUUUUCUCUCGCCCAGCCCAUUCUAGAAGGGCUCCAAUUUCUACUGAUCGAUUUCCUGGUGCUUAAUGAAGCUUAUCAUGGGUGUUUUGUAGUAGCUCCACUAACCACUCGAAUCUCAGUCUGGGUAUGCGAGGUGAGGUUUUUUUUCUUCAAAGAUUAAUCUUCCUUACUUUGCAUCACACUGUUAAGUGUUUGUGUACUUAUUGUGUACACGAGCUUUUUGUUACUCGAAGGGAUCUACACUACACGGGCCCAAGAUAGUGCACACCGGGAUCCUUAUCGUUUAAUGAGGGUUGACCCAUUUGGCAGUGGAUAUAAAAAUCAAAUCAUGCCCCGAUCAUGGGUAUCGUUUUGGUUGGUUUCUCUUAACGGUGACACCAAUGAAUAGCCACCGUACACCCUGUGUAGAUGCUUCGAAACAUAAGCUUUUUGUUGUAGGUGUCGAAUUAAGGUUCCAAUUUUUUCCCCCUCACUUUUAUCACACCCAAAUACAGCCAUCGAGUCGGAUCGUUGGAGAAUUCGAUAUAAAAUUAAGGAUAAAAGCCCCUUGGAACAGGCGUUGAAGUGAAUUGAGCCAGUGUACGUGUUUUGAUUAGGCUUUUAAUAGUGUCGUUUGUUGUCUGUUUCGAGAGUUGGAAAGCUGGAAAUAGAUAACAUGAUUUCGUACAUUCAACACAUGCCACUUCUCACGUUACGGAGAUAAGCAAUCUGCUAGUGAUGUUCAUACACCGUAAGCUCGUCUGUACCCCGAGGACCGCUUUACCACCUUCCAUGAGGCUAUCCGUCCGUUCUAGCAUGUUUGAUUGUCUUGAUAAUGAAUUUCAUACACCAGGAUGACAAUACAAAUAGUAGCCCCAAGACCAGAACCACACAUGCAUACAACAACAAAACAAAAAAGUUAUUGGACUUGAUCUCGACCACAGCAUGUCUCAUCUGCCGUAACAACGCUCUUUAUCUUGAUCUCUUUGUUUAGCCCAAGCUCAAGGCAGCAUGGCAGCAGAAUCGUGCGCCAACACUGAGGAUCUGCUUUGUUUGCUUUCAAUCAGCACACACCACAUAAUACGGUACAUCGGGUCGCAGCGUGUUGCAAAACAAUGCACCAAACCAUAUUGGUGCAAUUUUUAGCUCCAUUUCUGCAAUGGAACGUUGGGAGAUUUCAGUAUUUUUGUGCUUCGGUCUAUUCUAUGGGAGUAGGUUUUUUUUUCCUCCCCUUUUUAGCCCAUCAGUAACUACAACCAUUUUGCCAUCGUGUCUGAUGCAAGUCGAUGGGUCAAGAAAAGAACACGUGAGACAGUCCCAUGUUGUAAGGGAAGUUGCGCCGUAGUUGAAUCUCGUACUCGGUGAUUGUUUUCGUUUUUCUCGCUUUUUACCAUUCUAGAAGAGAAAAAAAAAUCAACCGGAUCUGCAAUAUGUAGAACCCGGAUCUUCAGCAAAAUCCAUCUUUAAUUUCAUCUUCUCGCUGUACAUCCGGACGUGCUUGAACUGGAAACGAUGUACAAUACUUGAGGAGUGAGGGCAACUUUAGCAUUAAUGUUGUGAUAAAAAAGAGGGAGAAAUGUUUCCGAGCUCACAAAGAUCAAAAACGGCGGGAGGGAUUAUUGCUUGAGUUGUUCAUUGUGCGAACAGGCCCAUAGUCCAUAGGCAUCAUUAGUCAUGAGACUCCCGGUUCCCUUGUGUCUGGUGCCGGAUGAGACAUGUUCCGUGUGUUUGCAAUCAUUUGGAUGACUUUGAGUUGUCUUUAUGAUGAUAACCAGGGUGAAGGAGUCUGUCGUCUGCUUCACUUGGUAACGUCGUAAAUGCAUGUCCAGAGUGAGUUUUGUUUGAAGUAUUCAAUUUCCUCUAAUCGCAAUGAUGGCGACCGACCAAGAGUAUCUUAACUAUUAGCGUAGGUCUGUGCUAUCCAUGGUCGAGUGUUGCUUUUCAACAUUAAUUUAUCAUUUUGCCUAAUGCUUCACAUUAAUCAGGUCGAAUUUCAAGGUAAAUGCAGUUGCCCUAUCAAUAUCGUUGUGUGCUACUCGUUUAUCAUAACUUCCGCUUUCCGCCUAUAGUCACAUUCAGAUUGGGAAGACCUUCAAAGAGGGAGACAUAGAGCAAAACAAAGCGAAAUAAGCCCACACAAAAUAAAAAAACCUGGGAAUGAAAAGAAAUGGAAGUUUUUCGUAAAUGUGCCAUCCCUGUCCAUCGUACCCCGCACUUGGUGUGACCAUUUGUCAAAUGAACCUCGACGGUUUGCCGGUUUAGAGAAUUAAAAAUUCAAAAUUCAAUUUCUUACUGCGCGAACGUGCCAUGGUUGCUUUUUUACGGCGGGUCUCUAUUCGUUUUUUUGUGUUCCAACAGCAUUUUUAUGUUCCGGCUUGAUAUUUUCGUGGUACCGUUUUUGUUCUGGGUCAGAUAACAGUUUUUCCAUGUAAGAUGGUGCUUUACUGUAAAGCAAAUUGUCGCCCGAAGCGUGUGCAAUUUUUGGAUCACAAAAUUAAAGAGGCCAGUAGUCGCUUUUGUCCCUCUGCUGUUGGCUGCGAAGUUGACAAGUUUUUUGGGUGAGAAAAGCUAACUUUCUGUCUAAUUUUUUUCCCCCGUCGACCAUUUUGAUGAGCUACGAAAUUUCUGCUUCCAGACAAAGUUUGUAGGAUAGGAUUUGGCUUAGUGUGUUUGCAAUUUUGCCCAGCUGAGAUGGUUGAUAGAUCCGGUACGAUUCAUCCUUUGUUCCAGAGUCCCGUUCUCGUUUGUACUGGGUGAAAAGUUUUUCCUACGAAUCCGGUUAGAGUCACUGGAAAAUAGACAAACUUAGUCACGAAAUUUUGUCAUGUUCAUGGUACAAAAGCUACGAAAGGGGAUAAUUUUUGACACCCAAACAAUCGAAUCUUCCGAAAAAAGUCAUGCGGAGUAGUAGGGGUUUUGGGAGAAUUUUUUGGGGGGAGAAUAUUUUCUCAGAACCGGGCACCCAACCCAGGUUACAGACAUCUUUCGAUUUUUGUGAAACAGUAAACUCAUUAUCACACCCUUGUAAAAAAAAAAUGCGAAACACUCAAGGAAAUGGGUAACGUAACGUGGCGUUCGUACCCAAUUGAGUCAGCGCUUUUCAGCCGAUUCUUCUUGUCUGUCUCGCUUUCGCAUUGAAACGGCCCAACCCAAAAGGCGCAACGUUACCCGGAUGAUCCCGGUCAAAUUAUGGAAUGGCAGCUGUUUCGGAUCGGAUAGCAAUGGCUUCGGCUAUCCGAAAGCGUAAAGGAUAAGGGUGGGUUCACGGGGCCGUCUGCUACCAUUCCCAUGCCGUAGAAAUUCUUUCUCUCUUUUCAACCUUAUUUUAUCAUCGCAGCUGUGCAACGGUGGAUAGGAAUUUGGUGGAAAAUGGUAUCGUUUGAAAUGCAGAACCGUGGAAGCAACGAUACCACAUCCUUUUUUCUAAUGCUUUUUGUGUUUCAGUUCUAUGCUGUUGAAAUGUUUUCAAGGUUGGGCGCGUAACUUCGAGGGAGAAUGCAACGAUCGGACUGAACGGAGAAGAUUAACUGUACGUGAACUGAUACAGAGGAAACCUUCACUGUGGCCACUCGUUUUUGGUGGUAUGAUUUGUUUGUAUGCAGUCGCUGUGAUGCCGUCAGCUGUGCCAAUUCGGUACGGGAGGCACUUCAUGCGGUGUGUCGGCGAUUAGGGUCGGCCUAUUCCUUCCGUGUGUUUUCCGCAAUGCGAUUGCAAUGUCCCAUAUUUGUUGCUUAUCGAUUAGCUACAUUCUCUUGUUUUUUGAAUUUUUAGUGUUGUUUUAUCUCUUUUUCGGUUUGUAAAAAUAUCUCGAAGGGCAACGGACUAGAUGCAUUUUUGAAGAGAAAUUGGUUUAUUGUGGGAUGAGUAAAAUGUGGUAACUUUUCCGUACAGAUAGCAAUGGUUUGUGAGUGCAUAUAUGCGGGUAAUGCUUUCAACAUACACAAACAUACACAUGUAUAUGUUCGAUAGCUUUUAUAGCAUGGACGAUGCAUCAUGGCACUAUUAUUGCUGCCACUGUUGAACGUUUGCGUGAUAAGGAAUAUGACUACAGCCUGGAACGCAACUGAUCGUGUUAUUGAUGUUUUCAGAAGGGUCGCUUAUCAGUUGGGAUUUAAUGAUAAAUCGAUUGCUUGACACAGUGCCAACCGAGACACGAUCGAAAAAGGGAGAGAACAUUACAUUUCUCCGCCCUUACCUACACUCCCUACAGGCAAGCGGUAUUUGCGCAAAAAAGGCCGGCUAAGCUGCACAAACACGUCUGUUUGUGAUCGUUUUUAAUGUUGUUGCUGACUAGCCGUAGAAUAUCGAUUGCAUUGAGUGGAACACAGAGCAACAGAAGAGGAGAACACUAGUGCCUCGGGUUUCUCUUUCUUUUUUUUUAAACCGCUGCAAAUUAUCCGUCCAUUCGCAUCUCCACCAUUUGUGGCCGUUCAGCUGUUCCUCGGGAUGGAAAUGAAAAUCGACACGUUUGCUUUCAUGGCUGUUGCUAGUCGCGUGGAUCAACAUACUUGAAGGUAAAG
Molecule: long non-coding RNA, 10415 nt
Organism: Anopheles funestus (African malaria mosquito)
Lineage: Eukaryota; Metazoa; Arthropoda; Insecta; Diptera; Culicidae
Exons: 2
Source: RefSeq, a predicted model, not a curated record